UACGUAGGGAGCAAGCGUUGUUCGGAUUUACUGGGCGUAAAGGGUGCGUAGGCGGUCGGGUAAGUCUGAUGUGAAAUCUCACAGCUUAACUGUGAAACUGCAUUGGAUACUAUUCGGCUUGAGAGUUGGAGGGGGGACUGGAAUUCUUGGUGUAGCAGUGAAAUGCGUAGAUAUCAAGAGGAACACCAGUGGCGAAGGCGAGUCCCUGGACAACUUCUGACGCUGAGGCACGAAAGCUAGGGGAGCAAACAGG
This 253-nucleotide ribosomal RNA is filed under the name uncultured bacterium. RNAcentral describes it as "partial 16S ribosomal RNA". It matches the Rfam family "Bacterial small subunit ribosomal RNA", at positions 524 to 776 of the family's 1533-position model. The record is from RNAcentral.